UUAUGACGUAUUAAAAAAAACUACUUACUAGAUCUCGUUCAAACUAAUUUUCGGUGGAAGUUUGCCUAAUGUACAUCAUAUAUUUUUUUUAGUUUUAUCAUUCUCUUAUUUUAGAAGUUCCAGGGGGGGACACACAUUUUACCACUUUGGAAGUGUCUCUCGCGCAAACUAUUCAGUUUAGAAAAAAAUGAUAUUAGAAACCUCAAUAUCAUUUUUGAAGACCUAUCCAUAGAUACCCCACACGUAUGGGUUUGAUGAAAAAAUUUGAGUAUCAGUUCUAAGUCUGGGGAACCCCCAAAAUUUAUAAUUUUUUUUUCUAUCUUUGUUUGAAAAUCUUAAUGCGGUUCACAGAAUACAUCUACUUACCAAGUUUCAACAGUAUACUCAAAGUACAUACAUACAUACAUAUAAUCACGCCUAUUUCCCGGAGGGGUAGACAGAGACCACGGAUUUCCACUUGCUACGAUCCUGACAUACCUCUUUCGCUUCCUUUACUUUCAUAACAUUCCUCAUACACGCUCGCCGGUUUAGGGUGCUCUUGACCUGGCCU
This is a long non-coding RNA of Cydia splendana, 550 nucleotides long. RefSeq lists it as uncharacterized. The transcript is spliced from 2 exons. The record is from RefSeq and is a predicted model, not a curated record. Lineage: Eukaryota; Metazoa; Arthropoda; Insecta; Lepidoptera; Tortricidae.